RNAcentral lists this ribosomal RNA (726 nucleotides) under uncultured bacterium. RNAcentral describes it as "bacterial SSU rRNA". It matches the Rfam family "Bacterial small subunit ribosomal RNA", at positions 61 to 778 of the family's 1533-position model. The record is from RNAcentral.
GUCGAGCGGUAGCACAGAGAGCUUGCUCUCGGGUGACGAGCGGCGGACGGGUGAGUAAUGUCUGGGAAACUGCCUGAUGGAGGGGGAUAACUACUGGAAACGGUAGCUAAUACCGCAUAACGUCGCAAGACCAAAGUGGGGGACCUUCGGGCCUCAUGCCAUCAGAUGUGCCCAGAUGGGAUUAGCUAGUAGGUGGGGUAAUGGCUCACCUAGGCGACGAUCCCUAGCUGGUCUGAGAGGAUGACCAGCCACACUGGAACUGAGACACGGUCCAGACUCCUACGGGAGGCAGCAGUGGGGAAUAUUGCACAAUGGGCGCAAGCCUGAUGCAGCCAUGCCGCGUGUGUGAAGAAGGCCUUCGGGUUGUAAAGCACUUUCAGCGGGGAGGAAGGCGUUAAGGUUAAUAACCUUAGCGAUUGACGUUACCCGCAGAAGAAGCACCGGCUAACUCCGUGCCAGCAGCCGCGGUAAUACGGAGGGUGCAAGCGUUAAUCGGAAUUACUGGGCGUAAAGCGCACGCAGGCGGUCUGUCAAGUCGGAUGUGAAAUCCCCGGGCUCAACCUGGGAACUGCAUUCGAAACUGGCAGGCUAGAGUCUUGUAGAGGGGGGUAGAAUUCCAGGUGUAGCGGUGAAAUGCGUAGAGAUCUGGAGGAAUACCGGUGGCGAAGGCGGCCCCCUGGACAAAGACUGACGCUCAGGUGCGAAAGCGUGGGGAGCAAACAGGAU